UGUUGUUGCUCGUGAAUAAGAAGCAUCUGCUUUUUCUAUGUUUUCUUAUCUUAUCAGUUUUUGUUCUGAACUUUUAUAGAAAAUUAGCUAUCUUUGUACCACCUUUGCUUUUCUAUGUUUUCUUAUCUUAUCAGUUUUUGUUCUGAACUUUUAUAGAAAAUUAACUAUCUUUGUACCACCUUUGCAGACACCAUUUUCAUAUAUGUAUGAGUAUAUGAUGAUACUGUGUUCCUAAUGGUGCAUAAUGCAUUAAGCUGUGUGAUGUAUUAGAGUUAUGCAUAAGAAUAAAAGCAAGAGUUAUGCAUAAGAAUAAAAGCAAUUGCUUGCUUUUGUACAUUGUCAUUUAAACAACUUUUAGAUUGGAUCAAUCUAAAUUAAAUUAUUCCUACUUUUCAAUGUUUUACUAUAUGCUAGUGUGAUUUAUCUGGA
RNAcentral lists this long non-coding RNA (429 nucleotides) under Lathyrus oleraceus (garden pea). Its description in RNAcentral is "Pisum sativum (pea) long non-coding RNA (PSAT_LNC001003)". Lineage: Eukaryota; Viridiplantae; Streptophyta; Magnoliopsida; Fabales; Fabaceae. The record is from RNAcentral.